CCUACGGGCGGCAGCAGUGGGGAAUAUUGCACAAUGGGGGAAACCCUGAUGCAGCGACGCCGCGUGAGUGAAGAAGUAAUUCGUUACGUAAAGCUCUAUCAGCAGGGAAGAAAAUGACGGUACCUGAGUAAGAAGCCCCGUCUAAGUACGGGCCAGCAGCCGCGGUAAUACGUAGGGGGCAAGCGUUAUCCGGAUUUACUGGGUGGAAAGGGAGCGUAGACGGUGCGCCAAGUCUGGAGUGAAAUGCCGGAGGUUAACUGCGGAACUGCUUUUGAAACUGGCGAACUAGAGUGCGGGAGGGGUAAGCGGAAUUCCUAGUGUAGCGGUGAAAUGCGUAGAUAUUAGGAGGAACACCGGGGGCGAAGGCGGCUUACUGGACCGUAACUGACGUUGAGGCUCGAAAGCGUGGGGAGCAAACAGGAUUAGAUACCCGAGUAGUC
Molecule: ribosomal RNA, 440 nt
Filed under: uncultured bacterium
Lineage: Bacteria
Description: partial 16S ribosomal RNA
Rfam family: Bacterial small subunit ribosomal RNA
Source: RNAcentral